This 490-nucleotide ribosomal RNA is filed under the name uncultured bacterium. Its description in RNAcentral is "partial 16S ribosomal RNA". It matches the Rfam family "Bacterial small subunit ribosomal RNA", at positions 30 to 507 of the family's 1533-position model. The record is from RNAcentral.
AUUGAACGCUGGCGGCAGGCCUAACACAUGCAAGUCGAACGGUAACAGGAAGAAGCUUGCUUCUUUGCUGACGAGUGGCGGACGGGUGAGUAAUGUCUGGGAAACUGCCUGAUGGAGGGGGAUCACUACUGGAAACGGUAGCUAAUACCGCAUAACGUCGCAAGACCAAAGAGGGGGACCUUCGGGCCUCUUGCCAUCGGAUGUGCCCAGAUGGGAUUAGCUAGUAGGUGGGGUAACGGCUCACCUAGGCGACGACCCCUAGCUGGUCUGAGAGGAUGACCAGCCACACGGGAACUGAGACACGGUCCAGACUCCUGCGGGAGGCAGCAGUGGGGAAUAUUGCACAAUAGGCGCAAGCAUGAUGCAGCCAUGCCGCGUGUAUGAAGAAGGCCUUCGGGUUGUAAAGUACUUUCAGCGGGGAGGAAGGGAGUAAAGUUAAUACCUUUGCUCAUUGACGUUACCCGCAGAAGAAGCACCGGCUAACUCCGUG